AUUGAACGCUGGCGGCAUGCCUUACACAUGCAAGUCGAACGGCAGCGGACCUUCGGGUGCCGGCGAGUGGCGAACGGGUGAGUAAUGCAUCGGAACGUGCCAUUGAGUGGGGGAUAACGUAGCGAAAGUUGCGCUAAUACCGCAUAUUCUGUGCGCAGGAAAGCAGGGGACCGCAAGGCCUUGCGCUCUUUGAGCGGCCGAUGUCAGAUUAGCUAGUUGGUGAGGUAACGGCUUACCAAGGCGACGAUCUGUAGCGGGUCUGAGAGGAUGAUCCGCCACACUGGAACUGAGACACGGUCCAGACUCCUACGGGAGGCAGCAGUGGGGAAUUUUGCACAAUGGGCGCAAGCCUGAUGCAGCAACGCCGCGUGCAGGAUGACGGUCCUAUGGAUUGUAAACUGCUUUUGUCAGAGACGAAAGUGUAUGAUUUAUCAUAUUUUGACGGUAUCUGGCGAAUAAG
Molecule: ribosomal RNA, 460 nt
Filed under: uncultured bacterium
Lineage: Bacteria
Description: bacterial SSU rRNA
Rfam family: Bacterial small subunit ribosomal RNA
Source: RNAcentral